This 594-nucleotide small RNA is filed under the name Pongo abelii (Sumatran orangutan). RNAcentral's name for it is "processed transcript". The record is from RNAcentral. Lineage: Eukaryota; Metazoa; Chordata; Mammalia; Primates; Hominidae.
GCAGCCUGGACGCGUGCGCAGGCGUCAGGCGCAGAGACCUGCUAGCCCCUCAGCUAGUGGCCCCGCCCGCGCUUAGCAUCACUAACUGGGCUAUAUAACCUGAGCGCCCGCGCGGCCAGGACACGAGGAAUUCGCCCACGCAGGAGGCACGGCGUCCGGAGGCCCCAGGGUUAUGAGACUAUCACUGCUCAGGACCUACUAACAACAAAGAAAAUGUUUACCAAAUGCUGCUGCCUCAAUACCAGAGUCUGUAUUGUCAGUUGAUCUUUCAAGUAAAAAGUGGUGUUCUAUGAAAAACAGCUAGUUCAGCUGCAACUGAAAUGAUAUAAGUGUUUCUCCUGGAGCAAACCACCACUUCCAUUUGUAGCAGAAAUGCUGUGAUUCUAAGUAUGACUUGCUAUGUAAAGAAGAAUUUAUUGAACUCAAAGACAUAUUCUCUGUGAAACUGAAACGGCGUUGUUCUGUUAAACAGCAGAGAAGUGGUACUUUAUUAGGUAUCACACUCUUCAUCUGCUUGAAAAAGGAACAAAAUAAACUAAAGAAUUCUACACUUGAUCUUAUUAAUUUAAGUGAAGACCACUGUGACGUAUGGUU